GUUAAGUGACUAAGCGUACACGGUGGAUGCCUUGGCAGUUGGAGGCGAUGAAGGACGUAUUAACUUGCGAUAAGCUUAGUCAAGCUAGUAAAAAGCGCUUGAGACUAAGAUUUCCGAAUGGGGAAACCCACCUGCUUGCAGGUAUCGUUAACUGAAUACAUAGGUUAACGAGGCGAACGCGGAGAACUGAAACAUCUAAGUACCCCGAGGAAAAGAAAUCAACCGAGAUUUCGUUAGUAGCGGCGAGCGAACGCGAAUUAGCCCUUAAGUGGUUUGUAAGUUAGUGGAAUCUACUGGAAAGUAGAGCGAUACAGGGUGAUAGCCCCGUACACGAAAAUAAACUUAUCAUGAAAUCGAGUAGGUCGGCACACGUGAAACGUUGACUGAACAUGGGGGGACCAUCCUCCAAGGCUAAAUACUCCUAACUGACCGAUAGUGAACCAGUACCGUGAGGGAAAGGCGAAAAGAACCCCUGUGAGGGGAGUGAAAUAGAACCUGAAACCGUGUACGUACAA
Molecule: ribosomal RNA, 515 nt
Filed under: Chaetoceros dichaeta
Lineage: Eukaryota; Bacillariophyta; Thalassiosirophyceae; Chaetocerotales; Chaetocerotaceae
Description: partial Bacterial large subunit ribosomal RNA
Rfam family: Bacterial large subunit ribosomal RNA
Source: RNAcentral